Molecule: ribosomal RNA, 276 nt
Filed under: uncultured soil bacterium
Lineage: Bacteria
Description: partial 16S ribosomal RNA
Rfam family: Bacterial small subunit ribosomal RNA
Source: RNAcentral
AGAAUCAACGCUGGCGGCGUGCCUCAGACAUGCAAGUCGAACGCGAAAGCCCCCUUCGGGGGGCAAGUAGAGUGGCGCACGGGUGAGUAACACGUAGGUAAUCUACCUUCGGAUGGGGAAUAACAACCGGAAACGGUUGCUAAUACCGCAUAAUGCAGCGGCACCUAAUGGUGACAGUUGUUAAAGCGGGGGAUCGAAAGACCUCGCGUCUGAAGAGGAGCCUGCGGCGGAUUAGCUAGUUGGUAGGGUAACGGCUUACCAAGGCAACGAUCCGUA